RNAcentral lists this ribosomal RNA (378 nucleotides) under uncultured eukaryote. RNAcentral describes it as "partial 18S ribosomal RNA". It matches the Rfam family "Eukaryotic small subunit ribosomal RNA", at positions 592 to 976 of the family's 1831-position model. The record is from RNAcentral.
CAAUAGCGUAUAUUAAAGUUGUUGCAGUUAAAAAGCUCGUAGUUGGAUUUGUGGCGGUCCCUUUGGGUCGACGUUUCGUUUGUACCUGUUUGGGGCUGUCAUCUUUGGGUGGAUGGCAUGUGGCAUUAGGUUGUCGUGUGUUGGAUGCCCAUCGUUUACUGUGAAAAAAUUAGAGUGUUCAAAGCAGGCUUAGGCCGUUGAAUAUAUUAGCAUGGAAUAAUGAGAUAGGACCCUGGUACUAUUUUGUUGGUUUGUGCACCUGGGUAAUGAUUAAUAGGGACAGUUGUGGGUAUUCGUAUUCCAUUGUCAGAGGUGAAAUUCUUGGAUUUUUGGAAGACGAACUACUGCGAAAGCAUUUACCAAGGAUGUUUUCAUUAA